This 379-nucleotide ribosomal RNA is filed under the name uncultured cyanobacterium. Its description in RNAcentral is "bacterial SSU rRNA". It matches the Rfam family "Bacterial small subunit ribosomal RNA", at positions 376 to 770 of the family's 1533-position model. The record is from RNAcentral. Lineage: Bacteria; Bacillati; Cyanobacteriota.
CGAAAGCCUGACGGAGCAAGACCGCGUGAGGGAGGAAGGCUCUUGGGUUGUAAACCUCUUUUCUCAGGGAAGAAGAUCUGACGGUACCUGAGGAAUAAGCAUCGGCUAACUCCGUGCCAGCAGCCGCGGUAAGACGGAGGAUGCAAGCGUUAUCCGGAAUUAUUGGGCGUAAAGCGUCCGCAGGCGGCUAAUUAAGUCUGCUGUCAAAGCCCACAGCUCAACUGUGGAUCGGCGGUGGAAACUGGUUAGCUUGAGUGCGGUAGGGGUAGAGGGAAUUCCCGGUGUAGCGGUGAAAUGCGUAGGGAUCGGGAAGAACAUCGGUGGCGAAAGCGCUCUACUGGGCCGCAACUGACACUCAGGGACGAAAGCUAGGGGAGCG